UACGUAGGGUGCGAGCGUUAAUCGGAAUUACUGGGCGUAAAGCGUGCGCAGGCGGUUCGCCAAGUCAGGUGUGAAAUCCCCGGGCUUAACCUGGGAAUUGCGCUUGAAACUAGCGGGCUUGAGUGUGGCAGAGGGGGGUGGAAUUCCACGUGUAGCAGUGAAAUGCGUAGAGAUGCGGAGGAACACCGAGGGCGAAGGCAGCCCCCUGGGCUGACACGGACGCUCAGGCACGAAAGCGUGGGAGCAAAAGGG
Molecule: ribosomal RNA, 252 nt
Filed under: uncultured bacterium
Lineage: Bacteria
Description: partial 16S ribosomal RNA
Rfam family: Bacterial small subunit ribosomal RNA
Source: RNAcentral